This 468-nucleotide ribosomal RNA is filed under the name uncultured bacterium. RNAcentral's name for it is "partial 16S ribosomal RNA". It matches the Rfam family "Bacterial small subunit ribosomal RNA", at positions 28 to 507 of the family's 1533-position model. The record is from RNAcentral.
GACGAACGCUGGCGGCGUGCUUAACACAUGCAAGUCGAACGGAAAGGCCCCGCUUUUGUGGGGUGCUCGAGUGGCGAACGGGUGAGUAACACGUGAGUAACCUGCCCUUGACUUUGGGAUAACUUCAGGAAACUGGGGCUCAUACCGGAUAGGAGCUCCUGCUGCAUGGUGGGGGUUGGAAAGUUUCGGCGGUUAGGGAUGGACUCGCGGCUUAUCAGCUUGUUGGUGGGGUAGUGGCUUACCAAGGCUUUGACGGGUAGCCGGCCUGAGAGGGUGACCGGCCACAUUGGGACUGAGAUACGGCCCAGACUCCUACGGGAGGCAGCAGUGGGGAAUAUUGCACAAUGGGCGGAAGCCUGAUGCGGCAACGCCGCGUGCGGGAUGAGGGCCUUCGGGUUGUAAACCGCUUUCGCCUGUGACGAAGCGUGAGUGACGGUAAUGGGUAAAGAAGCACCGGCUAACUACGUG